RNAcentral lists this ribosomal RNA (876 nucleotides) under uncultured bacterium. RNAcentral's name for it is "bacterial SSU rRNA". It matches the Rfam family "Bacterial small subunit ribosomal RNA", at positions 8 to 925 of the family's 1533-position model. The record is from RNAcentral.
AGAGUUUGAUCCUGGCUCAGGACGAACGCUGGCGGCAGGCCUAACACAUGCAAGUCGAACGCUCUCUUCGGAGGGAGUGGCAGACGGGUGAGUAACACGUGGGAAUCUACCCAGUACUACGGAAUAACCCAGGGAAACUUGAGCUAAUACCGUAUACGCCCUCCGGGGGAAAGAUUUAUCGGUAUUGGAUGAGCCCGCGUUUGAUUAGCUAGUUGGUGAGGUAAUGGCUCACCAAGGCGACGAUCAAUAGCUGGUCUGAGAGGAUGAUCAGCCACACUGGGACUGAGACACGGCCCAGACUCCUACGGGAGGCAGCAGUGGGGAAUAUUGGACAAUGGGCGCAAGCCUGAUCCAGCCAUGCCGCGUGAGUGAUGACGGCCUUAGGGUUGUAAAGCUCUUUCAACGGUGAAGAUAAUGACGGUUACCGUAGAAGAAGCCCCGGCUAACUUCGUGGCAGCAGCCGCGGUAAUACGAAGGGGGCUAGCGUUGUUCGGAAUAACUGGGCGUAAAGCGCACGUAGGCGGAUUGUUAAGUUAGGGGUGAAAUCCCGGGGCUCAACCCCGGAACUGCCUUUGAUACUGGCAAUCUAGAGUUCGAGAGAGGUGAGUGGAAUUCCGAGUGUAGAGGUGAAAUUCGUAGAUAUUCGGAGGAACACCAGUGGCGAAGGCGGCUCACUGGCUCGAUACUGACGCUGAGGUGCGAAAGCGUGGGGAGCAAACAGGAUUAGGUACCCUGGUAGUCCACGCCGUAAACGUUGGGCACUAGGUGUGGCGGACUCAUCAACGUUCGCCGUGCCGGAAGCUAACGCAUUAAGUGCCCCGCCUGGGGGAGUACGGCCGCAAGGCUUAAACUCAAAGGAAUUGACGGGUCCCCCCC